UCCAUCAUAGCUCAAUCGGUAGAGCAUGAGACUAUUAAUCUCAAGGUCAUGGGUUUGAGCCCCACAUUGGGUGAAA
This is a non-coding RNA of Podarcis raffonei (Aeolian wall lizard), 76 nucleotides long. The record is from the annotation of a RefSeq genome assembly. NCBI's taxonomy places the organism in Eukaryota, Metazoa, Chordata, Lepidosauria, Squamata, Lacertidae.